RNAcentral lists this ribosomal RNA (520 nucleotides) under uncultured Glomus. Its description in RNAcentral is "SSU rRNA". It matches the Rfam family "Eukaryotic small subunit ribosomal RNA", at positions 569 to 1092 of the family's 1831-position model. The record is from RNAcentral. Lineage: Eukaryota; Fungi; Glomeromycota; Glomeromycetes; Glomerales; Glomeraceae.
AGCAGCCGCGGUAAUUCCAGCUCCAAUAGCGUAUAUUAAAGUUGUUGCAGUUAAAAAGCUCGUAGUUGAAUUUCGGGAUCAGUACGUCGGUCGUGCUUCGGUACGUACUGGCGUAAUUGAUUUCUCCCUUCUGACGAACCAUGAUGUCAUUAACUUGGUGUCAUGGGAAAUCAGGACUGUUACUUUGAAAAAAUUAGAGUGUUUAAAGCAGGCUCACGCUUGAAUACAUUAGCAUGGAAUAAUGAAAUAGGACGUUCGAUCCUAUUUUGUUGGUUUUUAGGAUCAACGUAAUGAUUAAUAGGGAUAGUUGGGGGCAUUAGUAUUCAAUUGUCAGAGGUGAAAUUCUUGGAUUUAUUGAAGACUAACUACUGCGAAAGCAUUUGCCAAGGAUGUUUUCAUUAAUCAAGAACGAAAGUUAGGGGAUCGAAGACGAUCAGAUACCGUCGUAGUCUUAACCAUAAACUAUGCCGACUAGGGAUCGGAUGAUGUUAAUUUUUAAUGACUCAUUCGGCGCCUUACG